UGGUGGUAGGCUGGGGUCCCUGAACCCUCCAGUUAGGCUGGGAGUGGAACAGAUCCCCCAUGAGGUCUGGGGCCAGGAGAUUUCUUCCUGAGGAUCCUGAUGCUCCAAGGCCUGUGACUUGGGAAGGGAGUAGGGAGGGGGCUGGUGGAGUGUGUGGCUGGUGGAGACCUGGAUCCAGGCCCCUGCAGAGGGAUGGAUGGAUGUCCCCCACUGGUGGCCCUGGUCUACCUUGGGCUACCUUGAUGGAGUGUAGGCUCCAGCGGAGGGUACAGGGUGUGGGAGCGGGCUCCCUGUCUAGUUGAGGGGCUCAUAGGGGCAUAGCAGGGCUCCUGGAGCCCAAAGGGCUCAUGUCCAUCUCCCCAGGUUCAGAGACGCAUCAUGCUGCCAUGAGGCGCAGUAGAACAGCCCUCUCCUUUCCACUAAGAGAGCCAGCCCGAGUGUCGGCAGAUUCUGGCUUGGACCCUUUGAUCCCCCUUGGCAGUGGUGUCAUCCGGAGAUGCUUCUCGGGGACCCCAUUGCUGCCGCCACUGUUGAGCCACCUUGGGACCUCUGGAGAGGUGGAGCCUAGUGACUGUGUGGUCUUCACCAUCGAGGCUCAAGGGAAUGAGCAAAGCCACAGCCUGGUCCCAAGCAGGUGAGGAGGUAUAUGGGAACCAAGGAGUCCUGUCCCAGGAGAGGGAGACCUCCUUAUCUAGCUGAACCUUUCUUUAACUUGUUCAGAAAGCAUUUAUUAAGCACCCACUCUGUGUCAGGCCCUGUCCUGGGAACACAGCCAUGGGCAAGCAGGUGUUCAUGGGCUGAUGGUAGAAAUAGACUCAUGCCAGCUGGAUAGAUCAGGGCGAUAUGGGAGCACUGGGGACUUGGGGGGAGGAAGGAAUGCUUGGAAGAAGUGGCAAGCAAGCUUAGCCUGAAGGAUGAAGAGAUGUCAGCCAGGAGGAGCACAGGGAAGUGUAAGCCAAUUAGAAGAAACAGCAUGCAGCCUUCCUGCUGUGGUGCAGUGGGUUAAGAAUCCAGUGUUGUCUCUUUGGUGGCAAGGGUUCAAUCCCCAGCCUGAUGCAGUGGGUUAAGGAUCCGGCAUUGCCAUAGCUGUGGCGUACGUUGCAGCUGCAGCUCAGAUUUGAUUCUGGCCUGGGAACUUCCAUAUGCUGUGAGUGCAGAAAAAAAAAAAAAAAAGAAAGAAAGAAAGAAAGAAAAAGAAACAAGUUUUGCAGUCUUGGACUCAAGAAGAUCAGGUGCAUGAGGAAUUGAACACAGAUCAGUGUAGCUGGAGGGUGGGUGGGGAGCCUGGGGAGAUGGGCAGGGCAUGACCACACAAGAUCUUAUAGGUAUAAUGGGGAGCCAUGGGUGGUUUUUCAAGGGAGUGAGUUAAUUAGAUUGGAAUUUUAAAAAUUCCCUACAGCUGCUGUAGGGAGAACUGUCAGGAACCAGGGUGGAAAUAGCGGGAGCCCAACAAAGAGGCCUGGGCAGUUCUGAGCAGAAAAUGGUGGUACCUGGACCAGGGUGGAAGCCAAGAGCUGGAGAGAGCAAGCAUAUUCAGAAGUUCAGGCAGAUACAAGAUUUCUGAAGUGGACACACAGGCACUGGUGGACAUCAGCAGAGGGAAAGAGAGAGGGAGGGGUGGUGUGGACAGCUCCUGGU
This 1638-nucleotide long non-coding RNA is filed under the name Sus scrofa (pig). RNAcentral's name for it is "lncRNA (ENSSSCG00030057912.1)". Lineage: Eukaryota; Metazoa; Chordata; Mammalia; Artiodactyla; Suidae. The record is from RNAcentral.